UAAAGGAAGAAAUGUAGGGGAAGGAUAAGAGGAAAGUUUUGGUUCGGAAUCAACUAACUAACUUUAUGCUGAACUCCAGUGCAUCAGGCUUCUGAUUUAGAGGAACAUUAAAUUCUCCUGAUGUGAUAAAAGUGGUUUCCAGCUUCUUUCAAGAUCUGACUUCACACAAAGCUAAGUAAUGACCUCUCAGCCUGGUCCCUGAUAGAUGGCACUGUCAUUGGAAACAGUCAUGCUGAGAAAAGAUCAAUGAUUGCUUGGAGCUUCACAACCACUGAGAAUGGCC
RNAcentral lists this long non-coding RNA (283 nucleotides) under Ornithorhynchus anatinus (platypus). RNAcentral's name for it is "lncRNA (ENSOANG00000050913.1)". Lineage: Eukaryota; Metazoa; Chordata; Mammalia; Monotremata; Ornithorhynchidae. The record is from RNAcentral.